GACGGAGGGGGCUAGCGUUGUUCGGAAUUACUGGGCGUAAAGAGCGCGUAGGCGGUUUGGUAAGUUGGAAGUGAAAUCCCGGGGCUUAACCUCGGAAUUGCCUUCAAAACUACCAAUCUAGAGUGUAGUAGGGGAUGAUGGAAUUCCUAGUGUAGAGGUGAAAUUCUUAGAUAUUAGGAGGAACACCAGUGGCGAAGGCGGUCAUCUGGGCUACAACUGACGCUGAUGCGCGAAAGCGUGGGGAGCAAACAGG
This 253-nucleotide ribosomal RNA is filed under the name uncultured bacterium. RNAcentral describes it as "partial 16S ribosomal RNA". It matches the Rfam family "Bacterial small subunit ribosomal RNA", at positions 524 to 776 of the family's 1533-position model. The record is from RNAcentral.